Molecule: ribosomal RNA, 1227 nt
Filed under: Triticum aestivum (bread wheat)
Lineage: Eukaryota; Viridiplantae; Streptophyta; Magnoliopsida; Poales; Poaceae
Description: partial small subunit ribosomal RNA
Source: RNAcentral
AUGCUCUGUGAUCUCUCUUCUGACCACCACGAGGCCACCGGAUCCAGCUCCCACGGCGGAGACCUCGGCUUCAGCAGCCAUGUCCUGCUCAGCCCUCUCUUCGCGCCGGCGGCGACGCCGACGCCGCUGCUACCGAGGCCGGCACCGCCGCUGCUGGGGUUGGAGGAGCCCGCCAGGGCCAAGAGGAAGAGGAGCCAGCCCGGCAACCCAGACCCUGGCGCGGAGGUGAUCGCGCUGUCGCCGCGGACGCUGGUGGCGACGAACCGCUUCGUGUGCGAGAUCUGCAACAAGGGCUUCCAGCGGGACCAGAACCUGCAGCUGCACCGCCGCGGCCACAACCUGCCGUGGAAGCUCCGGCAGCGCACAGUGCUGCUGCCCAGGCCCGGCGGCGACGGCUCCGGCGCGCCGCGCAAGCGCGUGUACGUCUGCCCCGAGCCCACCUGCGUCCACCACGACCCGGCCCGGGCGCUGGGCGACCUCACCGGCAUCAAGAAGCACUUCUCCCGGAAGCACGGCGAGAAGCGGUGGAAGUGCGAGCGGUGCGCCAAGCGCUACGCCGUGCACUCGGACUGGAAGGCGCACGUCAAGAACUGCGGCACCCGCGAGUACCGCUGCGACUGCGGCAUCCUCUUCUCCAGGAAGGACAGCCUGCUGACCCACAGGGCCUUCUGCGACGCCCUAGCCGAAGAGAGUGCAAGGCUCAUCGCAGCUGCGAACAACAGCAUCACCACUACCACCGCCUGCAACAACAACAGCGGCGGCAGCAGCAACGACAUCAGCAAUAUGCUCAUGCCAAGCAACAGCUCGCCACUCUUUCUCCCUUUCUCAAGCCCUCCUCACGCUCAAAACCCUAACCCCCUCAUGUUUCUCUCCCAAGAACCUCACCACCACCAGGUGCUCCCUCCGUUCCAGCCCCUGACAUACCUUGAUGACCUCCCUAUGACCACCGGCAGCGGUUCGACCGUCAGCGCCGACACGGUCAGCUUCCGGCUCACCCCAGAAGGUUCGGUGACCAUGCACGCCGGUGGCCGCCACCUCACCAGGGACUUCCUAGGCGUCGACAACGCCGGGGAGGUCGAGGAGCUGCAGAUGCCGGUGCCACUGUGCGCCGCCGCGUACCAGGGACGCUCCAUCGGCCCCACCACCGCCUGCUGCGCCACCGACCUGACCAGGCAGUACCUCGGCCGGCUGCCGCCGGUGAACGAGCCGUGGAGCCACAACUUCUAG